This 144-nucleotide small RNA is filed under the name Flavobacterium sp. 9. RNAcentral describes it as "Flavo-1 RNA". It matches the Rfam family "Flavo-1 RNA". The record is from RNAcentral. Lineage: Bacteria; Pseudomonadati; Bacteroidota; Flavobacteriia; Flavobacteriales; Flavobacteriaceae.
UUUUAGCCCAGAUUAAAAUGGAAAGCCUUUUGCGAAAAAAACCAUAUUUUUUUGCAGGAACAGAGCGACCAACGGAAGCUUCUGGAACUGCAUUAAAAAAUAGGUGUUUUGAGUAAAAGCUUGAAAUGGAAAGCUGGAUUAGCU